UUCUUCGGAUGAAGAAGACUGUGACUGAGUGGCGGACGGGUGAGUAACGCGUGGGCAACCUGCCCUGUACUGGGGGAUAACAGUUAGAAAUGACUGCUAAUACCGCAUAAGCGCACGAGGACGCAUGUUCUUGUGUGAAAAACUCCGGUGGUACAGGAUGGGCCCGCGUCUGAUUAGGUAGUUGGUGGGGCAGCGGCCUACCAAGCCGACGAUCAGUAGCCGACCUGAGAGGGUGACCGGCCACAUUGGGACUGAGACACGGCCCAAACUCCUACGGGAGGCAGCAGUGGGGAAUAUUGCACAAUGGGGGAAACCCUGAUGCAGCGACGCCGCGUGAAGGAAGAAGUAUUUCGGUAUGUAAACUUCUAUCAGCAGGGAAGAAACUGACGGUACCUGACUAAGAAGCACCGGCUAAAUACGUGCCAGCAGCCGCGGUAAUACGUAUGGUGCAAGCGUUAUCCGGAUUUACUGGGUGUAAAGGGAGCGUAGACGGAGAGGCAAGUCUGAAGUGAAAGCCCGGGGCUCAACCCCGGGACUGCUUUGGAAACU
RNAcentral lists this ribosomal RNA (549 nucleotides) under uncultured Lachnospiraceae bacterium. RNAcentral's name for it is "bacterial SSU rRNA". It matches the Rfam family "Bacterial small subunit ribosomal RNA", at positions 73 to 634 of the family's 1533-position model. Lineage: Bacteria; Bacillati; Bacillota; Clostridia; Lachnospirales; Lachnospiraceae. The record is from RNAcentral.